GCCCCUGCCUGCCACACCAAGCAUUAGGCCACCAGGAAGACCCCCAUCUGCAAGCAAGCCUAGCCUUCCAGGGAGAAAGAGAAGUUUCUUCAGGACAUAACUGAUGCUGAGAAGUAUUUUAUUGGCUUAAUUUACCAUCGUGAAGAGAAAAGGUGGCGUUGGAUCAACAACUCUGUGUUCAAUGGCAAUGUUACCAAUCAGAAUCAGAAUUUCAACUGUGCGACCAUUGGCCUAACAAAGACAUUUGAUGCUGCAUCAUGUGACAUCAGCUACCGCAGGAUCUGUGAGAAGAAUGCCAAAUGAUCACAGUUCCCUGUGACAAGAACUAUACUUGCAACUCUUUUUGAAUCCAUACAGGUCGUCUGGCCAAUGAUUCUUUUACUUACCUAUCUGUCUACCAGUAGCGGUCCUUGCCCAUUUGGGAAACUGAGCUUCUUUCUUCUGCACUGGGGGACUGGAUGCUAGCCAUCUCCAGGAGACAGGAUCAGUUUUACGGAAACAACUCAGUUAGUAUAGAGAUGAGGUCCGCUUCUGUAGUACUGAGCAUUUCUGACUGAUCAAAAAGGCCUAGUCUGUUGACAGGGUUUGUUUUAUUUUAGCCUCAGAGUAUACCAUACUACUAGGGAGUAACUGUAGAGUGAGAAAUUAUAAACAUUAUUUAGGGAUUACCAUGGUGGAAGAGGGAUAAACAUAGGUCCUGUGACUUCGUCUCUGUUCUCAAGGGAACCCCAUUCACAUGCCCCUCCUAACUCCACAAGCGAGGGUAGCAGAGGCUCUCCUCAGUCUGAACUAAGGCUUGGCCUUGGGGAGGGCUCCUAGUGCUGAGCUUGGAGCAGCACGGACAGCAGCAUUGUUUAUGGGAAUGGAGAGAGGUCUGGGCAGGAUAGGAACCUUCUUGGAGACCCCUUUGAAGAAAACCAGGCAGCCAAGGGAGCCAAACACACUAGAUUUCUGUUCUUCAGCAAAGCCCUGAAGAGACACUUAAGCUAAAAAUUCCCUUGUCAUAUUUCUGAAACUCCAUUAUAACAUAUGUAACUCCUUUGUAACCAAAAUUUAGGUAAGCAGGCUUCCUUUGCUCUGAAGGUUUUGAGUACCUGGCUGUAUUUGUUGAGUAUUUUUAAAAUUUUGGAUAGUCUCUUAGGCAACAAUAAUCACAAUAUAUUCAUCCCUUCAGUUCUGGAGAAAGCCUGAUACCAGGCACAGCCUACUGACCCCAAGGAGCCUGGCACUGAUUGGCAUCACAUUGAUCUAGAACUGGUCCAGCCGACGAAGAGUAGGAAAAGAGAAGGGCUGCUCAGGGAAACAUUGGCUGGGGGCACGGAAUAAGCACAUAGUAAAAAGGGAACAUCAGGGUCAAAUGGAAAUCACCUGAGACAGGAAACAGGGAGUUCAUUUGGCCACACUGGAAGAAAGGCAAGAAAGAGGAAGACAAGUCUUGGAGUACCCUGGCUGUUCUCCACACUCACAAGACAUCAGCUAUAUACUCUGCUUGGUGCAUAAGAAAGAGAAAAGAGAUGCCUUUUGUGUUUUGAGUAAGAAUAAUUAAACCAUAAGGAAGACCAUGUAUAAAACUGAUGGAAAUAAUAGUCACCAAAGUACAGCACAUACCAUUUUGUGUCUAAUAACAAUGUAGCACAGUAAUGACUGUACAUGUCAUUGUAUGUAUACCAAACAAGAUUGUUGUAAAUCAUAUUUUUUAUUACAACACUAAGUUCUGCUUCUGCAUUCCUAGGUUUCAUCAUUUUUGGCUCCUUAGCAUGGCCACUUACAAUUUUUUAACAUGAGAUAACACAUCAGGUGUCAGAACUUGCUUGAAGGGAAUUACCAGAAGUAAUUUGUGUUUGAGAUGGGGUGGAAAUUGGAAUUAUAUUAGUAGCCGGUGGAGAUACAAGUUCUCUGACUGUGUUGGGAAAGGAUAAGUGCUACCGUUGAGAAGGGAAGAAAGGCUGAGUCUAGGUGGAGAAAAAUAUCAACAGAACUCUAGCCAAAGGCAAGCCCCAGAACUCAGACAACAGAAAGGAAAUCCUAAUCCUUCUGUUUUGAGAAGAGAGAACUGUAGUUGCUUCACUUCCUAUUUCAUGACAGAAUAACUGCAAACUUUUAAGAUCAGGAAAUGUAGACAUCUAGUGAUUUCUUUAGUAGACAGUUUAAUUUCCCCCAAGAUUAGGAGACACUUCUGUGCAGGUUCUAAAAGGAGCCCAAUGGCCUGGGGUGGGAGUGGGGAGUAGAUAGGGAAUAUGUGGGAUUUGGUUUAAGUUCAUCAUUGGAAGAGUUCCUGGAUCCUUGCAAGCUUAGAUAAAUGUGAUCUUUAUUAGAUAGCAGUGGCAUGCUUUAAAAAAAAAAAAGGCAAUGAAAAUUUAGCAAGCCACUGAAUUUGAGUUUUCACUUUGUUUCUAAUAUGCUGUGUGAAUCAGUACAGUUUUCUUACCCUUUCUUGGUCUUAAUUUCCUUACUGAUAAAAUGGGGUAGUAAUACCUAUCUCAAAAAAUUAUUGCACAUAUUAAAUAACAUUCCUCUAUGUAUCUCAAUGGCAUUAGACAUUAGGAGAAGCAUUUUGUGGAGGAUUUGAAGUUGAGAUCUUCAUCCAAGAAGUAGCUUUUCAAUUUGCUAGAAGCUUAAUGUAGGCAAGCCACUUCAUUUUUCAGAACUUGUUUACUCAUUUAUAAUAUGGGAAUAAAAAUUUGUGCAAGUCAGAGAAGGGUGCCUUAAAAAUGUUGUGGCCAAGCCACAUGAGAUCAAAGACACACUUUUCAUGACCUCAAAUGUGGGCCCAGCCUAGGUCAGCCAACCCCCAUCCAACCCUUAGACUCACGAACAAAUCCACCUGAGAUCAGCAGAGCCACCCUAGAUCAGCUGAAACUCUAAGCACAAAAAUAAAAACUUAUCACUGUAUACCACUGGAGUUUUCUGGUUAUCUCUCGUAUAGCAAAAUCUAACUGAUGCAAUCUCCAUCUGGCCUUCAUCCUUCUCCCUUUAUUGUCCUUUCGUG
Molecule: long non-coding RNA, 2989 nt
Filed under: Homo sapiens (human)
Lineage: Eukaryota; Metazoa; Chordata; Mammalia; Primates; Hominidae
Description: HSALNT0129977
Source: RNAcentral